UGAGUAACGCGGUCGGGGAACCUCGCCCUGGUACCGGGGAUAGCAGCCGGAAACGGCUGAUAAUACCGCAUAAGCGCACGAAUGUCGCAUGACAUGGUGUGAAAAACUCCGGUGGUAUAGGAUGGACCCGCGUCUGAUUAGCCUGUUGGUGGGGUAAAAGCCUACCAAAGCGAAGAUCAGUAGCCGAGUUGAGAGACUGACCGGCCACAUUGGGACUGAGACACGGCCCAGACUCCUACGGGAGGCAGCAGAG
RNAcentral lists this ribosomal RNA (253 nucleotides) under uncultured bacterium. RNAcentral describes it as "partial 16S ribosomal RNA". It matches the Rfam family "Bacterial small subunit ribosomal RNA", at positions 107 to 354 of the family's 1533-position model. The record is from RNAcentral.